Molecule: ribosomal RNA, 253 nt
Filed under: uncultured bacterium
Lineage: Bacteria
Description: partial 16S ribosomal RNA
Rfam family: Bacterial small subunit ribosomal RNA
Source: RNAcentral
UACGGGGGGUGCAAGCGUUGCUCGGAAUUAUUGGGCGUAAAGGGUAGGUAGGCGGUCUCAUUUGUCUGGGGUGAAAGCCUUGAGCUUAACUCAAGAAGUGCCCCAGAAACGGUGAGACUGGAGUCCUGGAGAGGGUCGUGGAAUUCCCGGUGUAGCGGUGAAAUGCGUAGAGAUCGGGAGGAACACCAGAGGCGAAAGCGGCGACCUGGACAGGUACUGACACUCAACUACGAAAGCGUGGGGAGCAAACAGG